Molecule: long non-coding RNA, 648 nt
Organism: Macrobrachium nipponense
Lineage: Eukaryota; Metazoa; Arthropoda; Malacostraca; Decapoda; Palaemonidae
Exons: 4
Source: RefSeq, a predicted model, not a curated record
AUCAUCGUCAAAGCUCCUGCUAAGUACGAGAACCAAUCUCUCUACGAAAUCGUCACUUCGGAAGGGAUCUGGAAAGACAAAUCAGUGGUCCAACGCCUGAAGACAAUUUCGGUGAAAGGGGAACACAAGCAGCAAUGUGGCGUCAGCACGCUUCAAAGAUGGGCAAAGAAUCAGGAUGAGGUAACGAUAACCUAUCCAGAAUACACACCACGACCGACUCCAGAAAAUAAGAUGUGUCAGUGAGAUGAGGAUAAAAAAAUGAUAUGAUUCGCGGUUGCGACAGUAACCAAUGGCCCAGCAGCUAUUCAGGAAAUUAGAAAAGUUUUCAAGUUGUUUAUUCUUAAAAAGUAACCCUUAUUGCGAAUGAAAUUUCCUGCAGCUAGUAUAUUAUUAUUUCUAUAUAUGUAACCCUUAUUGGGAACGCAAUUUCCUGCAGUUAUUAUAUUAUUAUAUCUUAAACGUAACCCUUAUUUGGAAUGCAAUUUCCUGCAGUUAUUAUAUUAUUUUAUUUUAAGUGUAAUUGUUAUUUGGAAUGCAAUUUCCUGCACUUAUUAUAUUAUUAUAUUUUAAAUGUAAUUGUUAUUUGAAUGCAAUUUCCUGCAGUUAUUAUAUUAUUAUAUUUUAAAUGUAACUCUUAUAUGGAAUGCA